UUGUCUCAAAGAUUAAGCCAUGCAUGUCUAAGUAUAAGCAAUUAUACGGCGAAACUGCGAAUGGCUCAUUAAAUCAGUUAUUGUUUAUUUGAUAGUACCUUACUACUUGGAUAACCGUGGUAAUUCUAGAGCUAAUACAUGCUAAAAACCCCGACUUCGGGAGGGGUGUAUUUAUUAGAUUAAAAACCAAUGCCCUUCGGGGCUUCUUGGUGAUUCAUGAUAACUUCUCGGAUCGCACGGCCUUGUGCCGGCGACGGUUCAUUCAAAUUUCUGCCCUAUCAACUUUCGACGGCUGGGUAUUGGCCAGCCGUGGUGACAACGGGUAACGGAGGGUUAGGGCUCGACCCCGGAGAAAACGCCUGAGAAACGGCGUUUACAUCCAAGGAAGGCAGCAGGCGCGCAAAUUACCCAAUGCCGACUCGGCGAGGUAGUGACGAUAAAUACUGGUACGGGGCUCUUUAGGGUCUCGUAACUGGAAUGAGUACAAUUUAAAUCCCUUAACGAGGAACAAUUGGAGGGCAAGUCUGGUGCCAGCAGCCGCGGUAAUUCCAGCUCCAAUAGCGUAUAUUAAAAUUGUUGAGAUUAAAAAGCUCGUAGUUGAACCUUGGGCCUGGCUGGCCGGUCCGCCUCACCGCGUGCACUGGUUCGGCCGGGCCUUUCCCUCCGGGGAUCCCCAUGCCCUUUACUGGGCGUGGCGGGGAACCGGGACUUUUACUUUGAAAAAAUUAGAGUGUUCAAAGCAGGCCUAUGCUCGAAUACAUUAGCAUGGAAUAAUAGAAUAGGACGUGCGGUUCUAUUUUGUUGGUUUCUAGGACCGCCGUAAUGAUUAAUAGGGACAGUCGGGGGCGUCAGUAUUCAAUUGUCAGAGGUGAAAUUCUUGGAUUUAUUGAAGACUAACUACUGCGAAGGCAUUCGUCAAGGAUGUUUUCAUUAAUCAGGAACGAAAGUUAGGGGAUCGAAGACGAUCAGAUACCGUCGUAGUCUUAACCGUAAACUAUUAAGUCUAGGGAUCGGACGGUGUUAUUUUUUGACCCGUCCGGCACCUUACACGAAAGUAUAAGAGCUUAUUCUGGGGAAAUACGGUAGCAAUACUGAAACUUAAAGGAA
Molecule: ribosomal RNA, 1107 nt
Filed under: Ophioceras fusiforme
Lineage: Eukaryota; Fungi; Ascomycota; Sordariomycetes; Magnaporthales; Ophioceraceae
Description: SSU rRNA
Rfam family: Eukaryotic small subunit ribosomal RNA
Source: RNAcentral